UCGGGGCGUAGCGCAGUUGGCUAGCGCGCCUGCUUCGGGAGUAGGAGGUCGCUGGUUCAAGUCCAGUCGCCCCGACCAC
Molecule: transfer RNA, 79 nt
Filed under: Dictyoglomus thermophilum H-6-12
Lineage: Bacteria; Pseudomonadati; Dictyoglomota; Dictyoglomia; Dictyoglomales; Dictyoglomaceae
Description: tRNA-Pro
Rfam family: tRNA
About the family: Transfer RNA (tRNA) molecules are approximately 80 nucleotides in length.
Source: RNAcentral